This 406-nucleotide ribosomal RNA is filed under the name uncultured bacterium. RNAcentral describes it as "partial 16S ribosomal RNA". It matches the Rfam family "Bacterial small subunit ribosomal RNA", at positions 30 to 526 of the family's 1533-position model. The record is from RNAcentral.
AUUGAACGCUGGCGGCAGGCCUAACACAUGCAAGUCGAACGAGUGGCGGACGGGUGAGUAAUGUCUGGGAAACUGCCUGAUGGAGGGGGAUAACUACUGGAAACGGUAGCUAAUACCGCAUACCAUCGGAUGUGCCCAGAUGGGAUUAGCUAGUAGGUGGGGUAAUGGCUCACCUAGGCGACGAUCCCUAGCUGGUCUGAGAGGAUGACCAGCCAGACUGGAACUGAGACACGGGCAAGACUCCUACGGGAGGCAGCAGUGGGGAAUAUUGCACAAUGGGCGCAAGCCUGAUGCAGCCAUGCCGCGUGUAUGAAGAAGGCCUUCGGGUUGUAAAGCACUUUCAGCGAGGAGGCGUUACCCGCAGAAGAAGCACCGGCUAACUCCGUGCCAGCAGCCGCGGUAAUAC